UCCAGGCUAAAUUCCUUCUUGUGCCGGCUGC
RNAcentral lists this non-coding RNA (31 nucleotides) under Mus musculus (house mouse). Lineage: Eukaryota; Metazoa; Chordata; Mammalia; Rodentia; Muridae. The record is from RNAcentral.